This 1096-nucleotide long non-coding RNA is filed under the name Podarcis muralis (Common wall lizard). Its description in RNAcentral is "lncRNA (ENSPMRG00000022794.1)". Lineage: Eukaryota; Metazoa; Chordata; Lepidosauria; Squamata; Lacertidae. The record is from RNAcentral.
GGCGGUUCAAAUCCCCGUGAUGGGGUGAGCUCCCGUUGCUCGGUCCCUGCUCCUGCCAACCUAGCAGUUCAAAAGCACAUCAAAGUGCAAGUAGAUAAGUAGGUACCGCUCCGGCGGGAAGGUAAACAGUGUUUCCGUGCGCUGCUCUGGUUCGCCAGAAGCGGGUUAGUCAUGCUGGCCACAAGACCCGGAAGCUGUACGCCGGCUCCCUCGGCCAAUAAAGCCAGAUGAGCGCUGCAACACCAGAGUCGGCCACAACUGGACCUAAUGGUCAGGGGUCCCUUUACCUAGCAACUUUGUUGAGCAUAGGUUGCACACCCUUUUGGAGCAAUAGAUUUAUCCUCUAUUCCACAAUAUUAAAGCUCACUCAUCUACUCCUGCUGGAGCUCUCACACCACCAGGCAGAGGACACUGAAAAUAGCCAUGCGCUCCCUGCUUGAAAAUUAGCAAAGCCGCAAAUAUCACAGCAAGAGGGGCCAGGAAUUUGACUGCCUCAGCAUUGCAACGUCAUGGCAGCUGAACUCGAGGCCAGAAAGAGUUUGACUGCUGAAGCUCUGCCUCUCCCCAGCCCAAUAAAGAGCCAAUUGCCAGGGGACAGCAAGACGUUAUCCUGGUGUCUUCUGAAGGAGCGGCCUCAUCUGAAACCAAGGAAGGGCUGUGCAAUGGACGUGUUUUCUCCAAUAAAGGCAAAAAGGUCCCUUGGAGCUGCCGGAGUGAAGAUUAAUUAGUUUUUGAAAGAAUAGCUAAAUUGAUGCCAGAAAAGAGGGCUUGGGCUUUGAAAAUAAUGGCUGAAAAUUAGCCAAGCCUCUUUCUUCAUUCCUCUUUGUGGGGCUCCAGAUGAGAUUUGUCUCUGCUGUUUUGGUGGAGAGGAGCCAUUAAUCAAACAGGCAGACGUUCCUUCCCAAAGUCGGGAACGCGGCGGAGUGGACGACAAAAUCAUCCACACGGAAGGGAAAUGACGAGAAAGCGUGGCAGAUUCCAUGCUGCACGGAUCUGCACAGGUUCCAGCUUUGUUUCUGCAAGCCAUUCUGCAUACAUGCAUUGGUAAGACUUGACUACUACAAGGUGCUCUGUGUGGGGCUACUCUUGGUGGCCU